This 87-nucleotide non-coding RNA is filed under the name Caloranaerobacter azorensis. RNAcentral describes it as "c-di-GMP sequence". It matches the Rfam family "c-di-GMP-I riboswitch aptamer". From Rfam's summary of the family: GEMM was predicted in a large-scale screen for bacterial structured RNA regulatory elements. Genes associated with GEMM are involved in a diverse array of functions, including chemotaxis regulation, signal transduction, secretion and chitin. RNAcentral also lists the same sequence under 1 other name. The record is from RNAcentral. Lineage: Bacteria; Bacillati; Bacillota; Tissierellia; Tissierellales; Thermohalobacteraceae.
UAUCGAUAAAGGCAAACCUAUCGAAAGGUAGGGACGCAAAGUCAUGGGUCUAAGGGACAUAUGUCCUAAGAUUGCCAGACUGCCGAU